This 611-nucleotide long non-coding RNA is filed under the name Mus spicilegus (steppe mouse). RNAcentral describes it as "lncRNA (ENSMSIG00000030586.1)". Lineage: Eukaryota; Metazoa; Chordata; Mammalia; Rodentia; Muridae. The record is from RNAcentral.
CCUUGAGACUAUUGAUGUGAGCUGCCAGGAACCAGGAAUGCCGCUGGAGCUACGCUGGCUUCUAACCACUUCAAACACACAGUGGAGUGCCCAAAGCAAUGUAACCUUGCUGGCUGUAGAAGUCUGCAAAACCAGAGAAAAACCGGAGUCAGCUGGCCUCAGAGAGGGAGGAUCACACAAGAGGACACUCUACAACCCAAGUCUACUUUCUAUAAGGAGGCAGCUGAACAAGACACAGCUGUUUGGAGACCAGCAUUCUGGGGAAGGCCCCUCUCUGUACAGCCCAAGAGGGAAUCUCUGAAUAGUUGCACUCUUGGACUGCGCUCAGUGUUCCUCAUCAGCUGGAGGCCGCAUCAUCAGCUUCGUUUUGUUGCCUCUGUCAUUGUUUUGGAGCCUUAGAGCGUGAACGUGCCUGGCCCCCUGCCACGGCUGCAGGAGUGGAGCCAGGGUGUGUACUGCAGCCCAGAGGAGGAGCCUCGCACUCUUCUGCAAAAAGAUUCCGGGGAGGAAAUCUGGAAAGUCUUUUCAAAACAACUCACAAAGGAAGGAGAGCUGCCAACUCUUGCAGGGUUGGUUUGCCCUAAUAAAUGAUCAGUUACUUAACGUGAGCA